Molecule: non-coding RNA, 94 nt
Organism: Capsicum annuum
Lineage: Eukaryota; Viridiplantae; Streptophyta; Magnoliopsida; Solanales; Solanaceae
Source: Rfam
AGGCGGCGAAGACAAAAAUGCAUUCCUGAGGAUAGUUAUAUAUAUCUAAAAAUUUUAUUGUUUUGAUGACAUUUGUGCGUGUCAUUUGAGCCUC